RNAcentral lists this ribosomal RNA (467 nucleotides) under uncultured bacterium. RNAcentral describes it as "partial 16S ribosomal RNA". It matches the Rfam family "Bacterial small subunit ribosomal RNA", at positions 28 to 507 of the family's 1533-position model. The record is from RNAcentral.
GAUGAACGCUGGCGGCGCGCCUAACACAUGCAAGUCGAACGAUUAAAGCACCUUCGGGUGUGUAUAAAGUGGCGAACGGCUGAGUAACACGUGGGCAACCUGCCCCUCUCAUUGGGAUAGCCACGGGAAACCGUGGAUAAUACCGAAUACUUCGGGACUUCCGCAUGGAAGACUCGAGAAAGCUCCGGCGGAGAGGGAUGGGCCCGCGGCCUGUUAGCUUGUUGGUGGGGUAAUGGCCUACCAAGGCAAUGAUGGGUAGCUGGGUUGAGAGACCGACCAGCCAGAUUGGGACUGAGACACGGCCCAGACUCCUACGGGAGGCAGCAGUGGGGAAUCUUGCACAAUGGGCGAAAGCCUGAUGCAGCGACGCCGCGUGCGGGAUGAAGGCCUUCGGGCUGUAAACCGCUUUCAGCAGGGACGAGGCGAAAGUGACGGUACCUGCAGAAGAAGCCCCGGCUAACUACGUG